AAAACGACUCUCGGCAACGGAUAUCUCGCUCUCGCAUCGAUGAAGAACGUAGCGAAAUGCGAUACUUGGUGUGAAUUGCAGAAUCCCGUGAACCAUCGAGUCUUUGAACGCAAGUUGCGCCCCAAGCCUUCUGGCCGAGGGCACGUCCGCCCUCGGGUGUCACAA
This 165-nucleotide ribosomal RNA is filed under the name Arabidopsis thaliana (thale cress). RNAcentral's name for it is "5.8S ribosomal RNA". It matches the Rfam family "5.8S ribosomal RNA". Rfam says of the family: 5.8S ribosomal RNA (5.8S rRNA) is a component of the large subunit of the eukaryotic ribosome. Lineage: Eukaryota; Viridiplantae; Streptophyta; Magnoliopsida; Brassicales; Brassicaceae. The record is from RNAcentral.